GAUGAACGCUGGCGGCGUGCCUAAUACAUGCGAGUAGAACGCUGAAGCUUGGUGCUUGCACCGAGCGGAUGAGUUGCGAACGGGUGAGUAACGCGUAGGUAACCUGCCUGGUAGCGGGGGAUAACUAUUGGAAACGAUAGCUAAUACCGCAUAACAGUAGAUAUUGCAUGAUAUCUGCUUGAAAGGUGCAAAUGCAUCACUACCAGAUGGACCUGCGUUGUAUUAGCUAGUUGGUGAGGUAACGGCUCACCAAGGCGACGAUACAUAGCCGACCUGAGAGGGUGAUCGGCCACACUGGGACUGAGACACGGCCCAGACUCCUACGGGAGGCAGCAGUAGGGAAUCUUCGGCAAUGGGGGGAACCCUGACCGAGCAACGCCGCGUGAGUGAAGAAGGGUUUCGGAUCGUAAAGCUCUGUUGUAAGAGAAGAACGAGUGUGAGAGUGGAAAGUUCACACUGUGACGGUAUCUUACCAGAAAGGGACGGCUAACUACGUG
RNAcentral lists this ribosomal RNA (497 nucleotides) under uncultured bacterium. Its description in RNAcentral is "partial 16S ribosomal RNA". It matches the Rfam family "Bacterial small subunit ribosomal RNA", at positions 28 to 507 of the family's 1533-position model. The record is from RNAcentral.